Molecule: ribosomal RNA, 253 nt
Filed under: uncultured bacterium
Lineage: Bacteria
Description: partial 16S ribosomal RNA
Rfam family: Bacterial small subunit ribosomal RNA
Source: RNAcentral
UACGUAGGGCGCAAGCGUUAAUCGGAAUUAUUGGGCGUAAAGCGUGCGCAGGCGGCUUUGCAAGACAGAUGUGAAAUCCCCGGGCUUAACCUGGGAACUGCAUUUGUGACUGCAUGGCUAGAGUGCGGCAGAGGGGGAUGGAAUUCCACGUGUAGCAGUGAAAUGCGUAGAUAUGUGGAGGAACACCGAUGGCGAAGGCAGCCCCCUGGGUUAACACUGACGCUCAUGCACGAAAGCGUGGGGAGCAAACAGG